Long non-coding RNA from Hippoglossus stenolepis (Pacific halibut), 506 nucleotides. RefSeq lists it as uncharacterized. The record is from RefSeq and is a predicted model, not a curated record. The transcript is spliced from 5 exons. NCBI's taxonomy places the organism in Eukaryota, Metazoa, Chordata, Actinopteri, Pleuronectiformes, Pleuronectidae.
AACAACAAGGAGCAGACGGAGGAGACGUGAAGUCUGAGGCUGAGACAGAUGUGAACAGCAGGUCUGGAACAAAGAGCCUUCAAAGGACUAAUUCACAGAUGGUCACCAACCAGUGGAGAGUCUUCACUGUGGAUCCCAGUAAAGCUCUGGACUCACUGGCUGAGGUGUGAGGAACAUCGACCUGCAGAGCCAGAUAAACAUUGAAACUGGUGAGAAAGAUCAUUUCACUGUGUUCUGCUGUAAACUGAGCGCAGGACGAGAAGGAAACAGACCAGACCUGGAACAUCUAGAAGAGCAGCGUGGCCUGAACCACAACUGAGCCGCAGCCGGCCCGGUGUAACAUGGACGAGGACAUUUCAGAGCAAGUUGGACCCUCACACACAAAAGGUCAGGACCACAGACUGAGAGCAGAGUCUCCAGGGUCCAGCUGUGUGUCUCUGAAGAGUGACAUGUCCAUGGGACAUCCUCUAGACUUCAGUAAUGAACCUGGACCCUCACACACAGAG